RNAcentral lists this long non-coding RNA (2210 nucleotides) under Homo sapiens (human). RNAcentral's name for it is "HSALNT0341288". Lineage: Eukaryota; Metazoa; Chordata; Mammalia; Primates; Hominidae. The record is from RNAcentral.
GCGGAGAGCCCAGAGCAGGCGCGCCGUGGCCGGGAUGCACUAUCCGGAUCUUCCGGAAAAGUCGGCGCGCCCAGCCCGCCCCUAGCGUGCCCGCGCCGCCGCUAUUGGGCCACGGGCUGUCCGGCCCCCGCUCAUUGGUCCGCGGCUGCACGGUGCCUGCAGUCCCACCCCUCGCCCAGCGGCCGCGACGCUAUGGCGCACUGGAGUACCCUGUUCCUGGCAGGUCCCACUCCAUUGCCCAAGCUGAAGUUCAGUGGCACGAACAUGUUUCACUGCAGCCUCAACCUCCUGGGCUCAAGCUGUCCUGCCUCAGCCUCCCGUGUAGCUGGGACCACAAGCACUCGCCAUCACACCUGGAUAAUUUUUUGAUGUUUCAUGGAGACAGUGCUUCACUUUGUUGCCUAUGCUGGUCUUGAACUCCUGGCCUCAAGCAAUCCUUCUGCUUUGGCCUUCCAGAGUGCUGAAAUUACAGGGGAGGAACAGGAAGAGAAGAGUGUGGCCUCCUAGAAAUCUAGCACGGAGAAAGACUGGUCUUGAACUCCUGACCUCGUGAUACUCAGCCUCCCAAAGUGCUGGGAUUACAGGAGUGAACCACCAAGCCCGGCUUGACCUCUUGGCUUUUACCAAAGGAUGUUUGCUUCUGAGGAAGCUGGAAGCUGCAGCCACAAUGUGCCUUUGCAGGGGAGCCUGAGAGCCACAGAUGUUAAGGAGAACUGCAAACCACUGUUCAAUGAAAUAAAAGAGAAUACAAACAAAUGGAACAACAUUCCACGCUCAUGGGUUGGAAGAAUCAAUAUCGUGAAAAUGGCCAUACUGCCCAAGGUAAUUUAUAGAUUCAAUGCCAUCCCCAUCAAGCUACCAAUGACUUUCUUCACAGAAUUGGAAAAAACUACUUUAAAGUUCAUAUGGAACAAAAAAGAGCCCGCAUCGCCAAGUCAAUCCUAAGCCAAAAGAACAAAGCCAGAGGCAUCAUGCUACCUGACUUCAAACUAUACUACAAGGCUACAAUAACCAAAACAGCAUGGUACUGGUACCAAAACAGAGAUAUAGAUCAAUGGAACAGAACAGAGUCCUCAGAAAUAACACCACAUAUCUACAACCAUCUGAUCUUUGACAAACCUGACAAAAACAAGCAGUGGGGAAAGGAUUCCCUAUUUAAUAAAUGGUGCUGGGAAAACUGGCUAGUCAUAUGUAGAAAGCUGAAACUGGAUCCCUUCCUUACACCUUAGACAAAAAUUAAUUCAAGAUGGAUUAAAGACUUACAUGUUAGAACUAAAACCAUAAAAACCCUAGAAGAAAACCUAGGCAAUACCAUUCAGGACAUAGGCAUGGGCAAGGACUUCAUGUCUAAAACACCAAAAGCAAUGGCAACAAAAGCCAAAAUUGACAAACGGGAUCUAACUAAACUAAAGAGCUUCUGCACAGCAAAAGAAACUACCAUCAGACUGAACAGGCAACCUACAAAAUGGGAGAAAAUUUUCGCAACCUACUCAUCCAACAAAGGGCAAAUAUCCAGAAUCUACAAUGAACUCAAAUAAAUUUACAAGAAAAAAACAAACAACCCCAUCAAAAAGUGGGCGGAGGAUAUGAACAGACACUUCUCAAAAGAAGACAUUUAUGCAGCCAAAAAACACAUGAAAAAAUGCUCAUCAUCACUGGCCAUCAGAGAAAUGCAAAUCAAAACCACAAUGAGAUACCAUCUCACACCAGUUAGAAUGGCGAUCAUUAAAAAGUCAGGAAACAACAGGUGCUAGAGAGGAUGUGGAGAAAUAGGAACACUUUUACACUGUUGUUGGGACUCUAAACUAGUUCAACCAUUGUGGAAGUCAGUGUGGCGAUUCCUCAGGGAUCUAGAACUAGAAAUACCAUUUGACCCAGCCAUCCCAUUACUGGGUAUAUACCCAAAGGACUAUAAAUCAUGCUGCUAUAAAGACACAUGCACACGUAUGUUUAUUGCGGCACCAUUCACAAUAGCAAAGACUUGGAACCAACCCAAAUGCCCAACAACGAUAGACUGGAUUAAGAAAAUGUGGCACUUAUACACCAUGGAAUACUAUGCAGCCAUAAAACAUGAUGAAACUGGAAACCAUCAUUCUCAGCAAACUAUCACAAGGACAAAAAACCAAACACCGCAUGUUCUCACUCAUAGGUGGGAAUUGAACAAUGAGAACACAUGGACACAGGAAGGGGAACAUCACACCCCGGGGACU